Molecule: ribosomal RNA, 1343 nt
Filed under: uncultured bacterium
Lineage: Bacteria
Description: 16S ribosomal RNA
Rfam family: Bacterial small subunit ribosomal RNA
Source: RNAcentral
GACGAACGUUGGCGGCGUGCUUAACACAUGCAAGUCGAACGGAAAGGCCCUGCUUUUGUGGGGUGCUCGAGUGGCGAACGGGUGAGUAACACGUGAGUAACCUGCCCUUGACUUUGGGAUAACUUCAGGAAACUGGGGCUAAUACCGGAUAGGAGCUCCUGCUGCAUGGUGGGGGUUGGAAAGUUUCGGCGGUUGGGGAUGGACUCGCGGCUUAUCAGCUUGUUGGUGGGGUAGUGGCUUACCAAGGCUUUGACGGGUAGCCGGCCUGAGAGGGUGACCGGCCACAUUGGGACUGAGAUACGGCCCAGACUCCUACGGGAGGCAGCAGUGGGGAAUAUUGCACAAUGGGCGGAAGCCUGAUGCAGCAACGCCGCGUGCGGGAUGACGGCCUUCGGGUUGUAAACCGCUUUCGCCUGUGACAAAGCGUGAGUGACGGUAAUGGGUAAAGAAGCACCGGCUAACUACGUGCCAGCAGCCGCGGUGAUACGUAGGGUGCGAGCGUUGUCCGGAUUUAUUGGGCGUAAAGGGCUCGUAGGUGGUUGAUCGCGUCGGAAGUGUAAUCUUGGGGCUUAACCCUGAGCGUGCUUUCGAUACGGGUUGACUUGAGGAAGGUAGGGGAGAAUGGAAUUCCUGGUGGAGCGGUGGAAUGCGCAGAUAUCAGGAGGAACACCAGUGGCGAAGGCGGUUCUCUGGGCCUUUCCUGACGCUGAGGAGCGAAAGCGUGGGGAGCGAACAGGCUUAGAUACCCUGGUAGUCCACGCUGUAAACGGUGGAUACUAGGUGUGGGGUCCAUUCCACGGGUUCCGUGCCGUAGCUAACGCUUUAAGUACCCCGCCUGGGAAGUACGGCCGCAAGGCUAAAACUCAAAGGAAUUGACGGGGCCCCGCACAAGCGGCGGAGCAUGCGGAUUAAUUCGAUGCAACGCGUAGAACCUUACCUGGGUUUGACAUGGAUCGGGAGUGCUCAGAGAUGGGUGUGCCUCUUUUGGGGUCGGUUCACAGGUGGUGCAUGGCUGUCGUCAGCUCGUGUCGUGAGAUGUUGGGUUAAGUCCCGCAACGAGCGCAACCCUUGUUCACUGUUGCCAGCACGUUAUGGUGGGGACUCAGUGGAGACCGCCGGGGUCAACUCGGAGGAAGGUGGGGAUGACGUCAAGUCAUCAUGCCCCUUAUGUCCAGGGCUUCACGCAUGCUACAAUGGCUGGUACAGAGAGUGGCGAGCCUGUGAGGGUGAGCGAAUCUCGGAAAGCCGGUCUCAGUUCGGAUUGGGGUCUGCAACUCGACCUCAUGAAGUCGGAGUCGCUAGUAAUCGCAGAUCAGCAACGCUGCGGUGAAUACGUUCCCGGG